UACGUAGGGGGCUAGCGUUGUCCGGAUUUACUGGGUGUAAAGGGCGCGCAGGCGGAUUAGCAAGUCAGAGGUGAAAUCCUACGGCCUAACCGUAGAACUGCCUUUGAAACUGUUAAUCUUGAGUUCGGAAGAGAGAGACGGAAUUCCAGGUGUAGUGGUGAAAUACGUAGAUAUCUGGAAGAACACCAGUUGCGAAGGCGGUCUCUUGGUCCGAUACUGACGCUCAGGCGCGAAAGCGUGGGUAGCAAACAGG
RNAcentral lists this ribosomal RNA (253 nucleotides) under uncultured bacterium. Its description in RNAcentral is "partial 16S ribosomal RNA". It matches the Rfam family "Bacterial small subunit ribosomal RNA", at positions 524 to 776 of the family's 1533-position model. The record is from RNAcentral.